Molecule: ribosomal RNA, 497 nt
Filed under: uncultured bacterium
Lineage: Bacteria
Description: partial 16S ribosomal RNA
Rfam family: Bacterial small subunit ribosomal RNA
Source: RNAcentral
UUGAACGCUGGCGGCAGGCCUAACAUAUGCAAGUCGAGCGGCAGCGCGGGGCAACCUGGCGGCGAGCGGCGAACGGGUGAGUAACGCGUAGGAAUCUACCCAGUAGCGGGGGAUAGCCCGGGGAAACUCGGAUUAAUACCGCAUACGCCCUAAGGGGGAAAGCAGGGGAUCGAAAGACUUUGCACUAUUGGAAGAGCCUGCGUUGGAUUAGCUGGUUGGUAGGGUAAAGGCCUACCAAGGCGACGCUCCGUAACUGGUCUGAGAGGAUGAUCAAUCACACUGGAAAUGAGACACGGGCCAGACGCCUACGGGAGGCAGCAGUGGGGAAUAUUGGACAAUGGGCGAAAGCCUGAUCCAGCCAUGCCGCGUGUGUGAGGAAGUUCUUCGGAUUGUAAAGCACUUUAAGUUGGGAGGAAGGGCAGUAAGCUAAUACCUUGCUGUUUUGACGUUACCGACAGAAUAAGCACCGGCUAACUCUGUGCCAGCCGCCGCUGUAA